UUUUGGACAAUGGGGGCAACCCUGAUCCAGCAAUGCCGCGUGAGUGAAGAAGGCCUUCGGGUUGUAAAGCUCUUUUGUCAGGGAAGAAACACCGACUCUAACACAGUCCGGGAAUGACGGUACCUGAAGAAUAAGCACCGGCUAACUACGUGCCAGCAGCCGCGGUAAUACGUAGGGUGCAAGCGUUAAUCGGGAUUACUGGGCGUAAAGCGUGCGCAGGCGGUUAUACAAGACAGGCGUGAAAUCCCCGGGCUUAACCUGGGAAUGGCGCCUGUGACUGUAUAGCUAGAGUGUGUCAGAGGGGGGUAGAAUUCCACGUGUAGCAGUGAAAUGCGUAGAUAUGUGGAGGAAUACCAAUGGCGAAGGCAGCCCCCUGGGAUAACACUGACGCUCAUGCACGAA
Molecule: ribosomal RNA, 402 nt
Filed under: uncultured bacterium
Lineage: Bacteria
Description: bacterial SSU rRNA
Rfam family: Bacterial small subunit ribosomal RNA
Source: RNAcentral